CCUACGGGUGACAGCAGUGAGGAAUAUUGGUCAAUGGACGAGAGUCUGAACCAGCCAAGUAGCGUGAAGGAUGACUGCCCUAUGGGUUGUAAACUUCUUUUAUAUGGGAAUAAAACGUUCCACGUGUGGGAUUUUGUAUGUACCAUAUGAAUAAGGAUCGGCUAACUCCGUGCCAGCAGCCGCGGUAAUACGGAGGAUCCGAGCGUUAUCCGGAUUUAUUGGGUUUAAAGGGAGCGUAGGUGGAUUGUUAAGUCAGUUGUGAAAGUUUGCGGCUCAACCGUAAAAUUGCAGUUGAAACUGGCAGUCUUGAGUACAGUAGAGGUGGGCGGAAUUCGUGGUGUAGCGGUGAAAUGCUGAGAUAUCACGAAGAACUCCGAUUGCGAAGGAAGUUCACUGGACUGCAACUGACACUGAGGCUCGAAAGUGUGGGUAUCAAACAGGAUUAGAUACCCGUGUAGUC
This 460-nucleotide ribosomal RNA is filed under the name uncultured bacterium. RNAcentral describes it as "partial 16S ribosomal RNA". It matches the Rfam family "Bacterial small subunit ribosomal RNA", at positions 338 to 795 of the family's 1533-position model. The record is from RNAcentral.